GCGGGAAGCGCGGUGGAGACCUGGCCGCUGCGGGAGUUGGAGGGUCAUUUUGGGAGGAGGUCUUUAAUCCGCAUCCAUCCUUGAUGCCGGUGAUUUCCCGCCGACUGCUGCCUCAGGAUAAGGAUCGGGGGGCGGCCGCGGACCGGGUGCCAGCGAUGGAGGAGCCCUCGAAGCCACCCGGAUGAUGCCUGCUAGCCUGACGAGGUACCUGAGGCCCGGAGAAGCAACGUGACUUGCCCAAGGUCACACAGCAGACAUGCGGUGACGCCGGAAUUAGAACCUACGACCUUCUGCCUUCCAGGCCCGUGUUCUGUCCAUUACGCCAUGUGGUUAGGUGCUGAACACCUAAUACCACAGCCUCAAUCUCCCAGCCCAAUUGCUUUUCCCCCCAAGCCUCCCGGCCCCUAACCCUAAAGACCGUCGUUGUUUCGGGUGGGAGACCUGCUGACCUGCUUAGGUGGAGAGAAGAUCGAGCAAGCCGUCUUCUAGUGACACAACUCCUCCAGGCUUCCGGACGAGUCGGUAAUAAGCACAGAAGACAAUAAACAAUUGCUAAACCAUU
Molecule: long non-coding RNA, 562 nt
Organism: Ornithorhynchus anatinus (platypus)
Lineage: Eukaryota; Metazoa; Chordata; Mammalia; Monotremata; Ornithorhynchidae
Exons: 5
Source: RefSeq, a predicted model, not a curated record